This 486-nucleotide ribosomal RNA is filed under the name uncultured bacterium. RNAcentral describes it as "bacterial SSU rRNA". It matches the Rfam family "Bacterial small subunit ribosomal RNA", at positions 28 to 507 of the family's 1533-position model. The record is from RNAcentral.
GAUGAACGCUAGCUACAGGCUUAACACAUGCAAGUCGAGGGGCAGCAGGGACAAAGCUUGCUUUGUUUGCUGGCGACCGGCGCACGGGUGAGUAACGCGUAUCCGACCUACCCAUAACUCGGGCACAGCCGCUCGAAAGAGAGAUUGAUUCCCGAUAUGUCCUUGGAGUAGAUUCAAUGAUGAAAGAUUCAUCGGUUAUGGAUGGGGAUGCGUAAGAUUAGGUAGUAGGCGGGGUAACGGCCCACCUAGCCGACGAUCUUUAGGGGUUCUGAGAGGAAGGUCCCCCCANACUGGUACUGAGACACGGACCAGACUCCUACGGGAGGCAGCAGUGAGGAAUAUUGGUCAAUGGGCGAGGCCUGAACCAGCCAAGUAGCGUGAAGGAUUACUGCCCUACGGGUUGUAAACUUCUUUUAUACGGGAACAAACCCCGGUACGUGUACCGGAUUGCGUGUACCGUAUGAAUAAGCAUCGGCUAACUCCGUG